GGGCGCGGGUCGUGGGGGCGCCACAGUCUAUUUGACAGUGGAUUUCCCAAGAUCCGUGAU
RNAcentral lists this microRNA precursor (60 nucleotides) under Haliotis rufescens (red abalone). Its description in RNAcentral is "mir-1986 microRNA precursor family". It matches the Rfam family "mir-1986 microRNA precursor family". Lineage: Eukaryota; Metazoa; Mollusca; Gastropoda; Lepetellida; Haliotidae. The record is from Rfam by way of RNAcentral.